GAUUAUGGCUCAGGAUGAACGCUAGCGACAGGCUUAACACAUGCAAGUCGAGAGGCAGCAUAGAAGUAGCAAUACUUGGUGGCGACCGGCGCACGGGUGAGUAACGCGUAUGCAACCUACCUAUCAGAGGGGAAUAACCCGGCGAAAGUCGGACUAAUACCGCAUAAAACAGGGGCACCGCAUGGUGAUAUUUGUUAAAGAAAUUCGCUGAUAGAUGGGCAUGCGUUCCAUUAGGUAGUUGGUGAGGUAACGGCUCACCAAGCCGACGAUGGAUAGGGGAACUGAGAGGUUGGUCCCCCACACUGGUACUGAGACACGGACCAGACUCCUACGGGAGGCAGCAGUGAGGAAUAUUGGUCAAUGGGCGGGAGCCUGAACCAGCCAAGUCGCGUGAAGGAAGAAGGAUCUAUGGUUCGUAAACUUCUUUUGCAGGGGAAUAAAGUGCAGGACGUGUCCUGUUUUGUAUGUACCCUGAGAAUAAGGAUCGGCUAACUCCGUGCCAGCCGCCGC
Molecule: ribosomal RNA, 510 nt
Filed under: uncultured bacterium
Lineage: Bacteria
Description: bacterial SSU rRNA
Rfam family: Bacterial small subunit ribosomal RNA
Source: RNAcentral